UACGUAGGAGGCGAGCGUUGUCCGGAGUUACUGGGCGUAAAGGGUGCGCAGGCGGUGGCCCGCGUGGGCGGUGAAAGCUCCUGGCUCAACUGGGAGAGGGCCGUCCAGACGGGGUCACUUGAGGGGCGGAGAGGGGCGUGGAACUCCAGGUGUAGUGGUGAAAUGCGUAGAUAUCUGGAAGAACACCAAAGGCGAAGGCAGUGUCCUGGGUGGUCGCUGACGCUGAGAGGCGAAAGCCAGGGGAGCGAACGGG
Molecule: ribosomal RNA, 253 nt
Filed under: uncultured bacterium
Lineage: Bacteria
Description: partial 16S ribosomal RNA
Rfam family: Bacterial small subunit ribosomal RNA
Source: RNAcentral